Molecule: long non-coding RNA, 560 nt
Organism: Neopelma chrysocephalum (saffron-crested tyrant-manakin)
Lineage: Eukaryota; Metazoa; Chordata; Aves; Passeriformes; Pipridae
Exons: 2
Source: RefSeq, a predicted model, not a curated record
CCCCGCGCCGUGAGACGAGACAAGAUGGCGGCAGUCGGGCCUGGGCCGGGGGAGCGGCAGGCGGGCAGGGGGAGCGGCAGGCUGCCCGGUGUAGCGCAGGGAGCCGGGCCGUAACCCGCGUGUCUUCCCUGCUUUAUUAACCACGGAGCUCGAGGAGCAGCAGGAGAGGCAGCGUGCGCCCUGUUUGCAGCCCUGAAAUGACACCGAGACACUUGAACGCGGGCGGACGGGAGAGGAUGGUGCCCUGAUGCGCUGAAGGGCUGUACCAGCAUCAGUACUACAGAAAGCAGCACGCAGGCAGCAGCAGGAGAGAAAGGGAUUUAUCAUAGCAACACUGAACCAAGACUACGCCUCAGCUCUUUAUAUGGAACUGCUGACAGAGGAAGCUGCAGAACUGAAAGCAGUCUGUCCUUGACUGCAUGAGACCAUGCCUCUCACAGAAGGCAAAUGAUGUCUUACUUCAAAAAUUUUAUGAAAUGCAAACUUAUUGAUUCACUUUUCUUAGAGCUGUUGCACUUGAAUAACUGCGUAAGGUUAAGGUUCCUACUCACUUCAAAUUA